Dicentrarchus labrax (European seabass) is the source of this 2712-nucleotide long non-coding RNA. RefSeq lists it as uncharacterized. NCBI's taxonomy places the organism in Eukaryota, Metazoa, Chordata, Actinopteri, Moronidae. The transcript has 3 exons. The record is from RefSeq and is a predicted model, not a curated record.
GGAUUUUCAGUCUGGUUGACAGAUCAACUCUGCGGGGCUUCGGCAAGCCAGCUAAAUAUGGUGAAGUUGCCUUUCUGACACCGACAGGAAGAGGUGGGCACCGUGUCACCAGACGUCAGAAGAACCAACUCCGCCUUCACCCAAAGAUGGUAGCGGGCACGGAAGGCCACAAGACGAGCAUAGUAGGCUGGCGCAGGGAUGGAGACUGAGCGGGUACAGCGCACAUAAGUGUGGCACAACUGGUAAGUUAGAAUCUGCAACUCAUCAGCUGUGAAACGAUUGUCGUCCCAUAAGACGUAGUAAUGAGACGGCCGGCUGGUACCCUGGACACAAAGAGAAGGCAAUAACAAUGAGAGAAGAAAGAUAUAUAUGCAGAAAACGGGUAUGUAAAAAGCAAUCAGUCUUAUUAUAAUCUACAACUUAAAUUACACUGCAAAAAGACAUUCUGUUUCUAUCAUUACCUGUAUGCCUGCAUGGCUACACAGGUAGAAGUCAAACUCAAAGGGGUGAGUGAUGCUGGUGUCCACUGUUGUCCCUGCAGGAAUAUUCCCACUCUUCCCAAUCUAUCAAAAGGAAACACAAGAUGGCAUUUAUUACAUAUGAAAAUACAAGUGAAAAUAAUCAUGCAAGUAUGAUUUUUUUUUUUUUUUUUUUUUUAAAGUUUAAGAAAAUAGAAAGCUUACCCUUUCAGACUUGUCAGCACAGAAGAGGCGUGUGUGGUGGCGUUUCUGCACCACAAUAUAGGUGAUGCCUGGCUGAUAGUCUUUCUCCAACUUGAUACAUGCAUCUCUGAUGGCCAGGAGCUCGUAGUGGAGAAUCUAGACAAAAGAACAUUGAUGGUUGAUGCACUAAAAAAUGAACUAUAUCAGCUCGAGCGCUAAUAAACAAAGAACUCUCAUCAGUUUCAACUACCAUGACGCCCGAUUACCUGCGGCAACUGUCCCUCAGGAACUCCGUCUCUGUAGAAAAUGAUCCUGGUGGGCUUGAACCGGGUCGAUUUGUAGAACUGAAUGAGCAGUUCCCGCACCAUGUAAGACAAAUCUUCAAUGAUCUCCUGCCUGGGUCUCUGGACACGCACUGUGGCACAGUAUCUGCUGGGAUGAGCAUCCAUACUGCCUACCACCUGGAAGACAGGGGAGGAAGGGAGUAACAGUUGAACGGAGCACUGUCAAAAAGUGUGCUAUUAGUUUUCUCCUCAGACAGGAGGAUCAAGACAGACCCACUCUCCUCUCCCAUCCUCUCUGUGCGUGACUCAAGCGUUUGUCAUAAUUGCUAGGCAACAACACAGCCAACCACAGUCGAGCUGAGGUCAAGGGCGGACGACUGGCGAACGAGGGUUGACGUCAUUUCCUUUUUGAACGUGAGUCAGUGAUGAGCCAUUUGUUUUCCUUCAUCCCUCACUCCUCUCUUAGUACUUUUUUUUUUCUUUGUUCAGACCCAUUUAUUGUGUAUCCAAGUUUAAACGAAAAGUCAGAUUGACUGCAGAUGUUUCUCAUAAAAUGGACUUUUAAAUCAGGGAGUGUCUGGGCAUUUACUACUGAUUUUAUUAAGUCGUGUUGGUGAAAUGUUCUGAUCAGCCAAAAUUCUUCAACAGCUCUUCAAGCUAAGCUGUUGGGUAAGAGUGAGAGUACACAAUAUAAUAUAUAUAAAUAAACAGCUACAACUAAUGAUUUUAAUGAAAAUGCCUAAAUAACUUUACAGAUGCCUACCACAGGGUGAGGAAUUCAUCUCAUCUACCCAAAGAACAUAAUAGUACUUCCCCAUUUUUACUGUGCACUCAUGUUACCAUAACAGUCAAACUAACUCACAUAUGAGCUGAAUGUAAUGACAUUUGCUGUCGUGUUUUAAUUAACUUCAUCUGUGUUAGAUAUUAAAAAAAAAAGGUGGGGAAGUGCUUCAGCCUCAAACAAACUAUUUAUGCCUGAAGGAUUCUUCUCUUAGCAGCGUUGCUGAGCGCCAUGACCUAUUACUUGAUGCCACUGUCACUAAGCAACCACAACCAUGUGCAUUUGCUUUUCUAUGACAUCUUGAGGUCAUUUGCAUUAUUUACAUGUCCUUGUCGUUUUUCUGAUUUGCCUAUUAAAAAAAAGGAGUGCUCUUGCCAACUUAGCAUCUGGACGGCCAUCAGAGACACUACGCUGUGGCAAUAAGUGUGUAAUUUUCAUAUUAUCUAUGUACUUAUAAAAAGAAAAUGAAAAAGUUUUUAUGGCUUUGAAAAAGUAAUUAAAAAAACCAAGGUUGAAAUGUCUGUGUUGGCAACCACCCACCAUUCUUAAAAGGCAACUAGUCCCCCCCGAUCCACCAUCUGUGUAUUAGAGCUGAUACAGAGCUACUGUAUUUGGUGCUGCUGUGUCCAACACACCCAGCAGCAGUGGACAAAACGUGGUACUGGUAGCUAAGUGCCUUAAAGGGCCAGUGUGUAACAUUUAGGAGGAUUUAUUGACAGAAAUGGAUAUAAUAUAAUAUUCCAUAUAAUAUUUAGCCUUUUUCUGAGCUGUAUUCAAAUGGUUGCAAUCUACAACUUCACCACUAAAUGACACUAAAUCCAACACACUGGUCCUUUAAGCCAGUGGUUCUCAAACUGGGGGUCAGAACACCAACUCGAUUAUUCUGGGGGGUUGAGACUCUAAAAGGUUGAGAACCACUGCUUCAAGCUGCUGUUCUUCUUAUUAUCAACACUAAUAUAAAUGCUGACUUAAUGACUGUACUAAA